RNAcentral lists this ribosomal RNA (504 nucleotides) under uncultured bacterium. RNAcentral's name for it is "partial 16S ribosomal RNA". It matches the Rfam family "Bacterial small subunit ribosomal RNA", at positions 28 to 523 of the family's 1533-position model. The record is from RNAcentral.
GAUGAACGCUGGCGGCGUGCCUAAUACAUGCAAGUCGAACGAAGAUCUAGCUUGCUAGAUCUUAGUGGCGAACGGGUGAGUAAUACAUAAAUAAUCUGCCCAUAUGACUGGGAUAACUAUUGGAAACGAUAGCUAAUACCGGAUAGGUUGAUCGGAGGCAUCUCUGAUGAAUUAAAGUAGGAUAUCUACACAAAUGGAUGAGUUUAUGGCGCAUUAGUUAGUUGGGGGGGUAACGGCCUACCAAGACGAUGAUGCGUAGCCGACCUGAGAGGGUGACCGACCACACUGGGACUGAGACACGGCCCAGACUCCUACGGGAGGCAGCAGUAGGGAAUUUUCGGCAAUGGGCGCAAGCCUGACCGAGCAACGCCGCGUGAGUGAUUAAGGCCUUCGGGUUGUAAAGCUCUGUCAGAGGGGAAGAAGUGGAAAGGUGCUAAUACUAUCUUUCCUUGACGGUACCCUCAAAGGAAGCACCGGCUAACUCCGUGCCAGCCGCCGCGGUAA